RNAcentral lists this ribosomal RNA (185 nucleotides) under uncultured bacterium. Its description in RNAcentral is "partial 16S ribosomal RNA". It matches the Rfam family "Bacterial small subunit ribosomal RNA", at positions 1306 to 1500 of the family's 1533-position model. The record is from RNAcentral.
UGCAACUCGACUGCACGAAGCUGGAAUCGCUAGUAAUCGCGGAUCAGCACGCCGCGGUGAAUACGUUCCCGGGCCUUGUACACACCGCCCGUCACACCAUGGAAGUUGGGGGUGCCCAAAGCCGGCAGGGAAAUAUGCUGUCUAAGGCAAAACCAAUGACUGGGGUGAAGUCGUAACAAGGUACC